ACGCACGCUGGCGGCGUGCUUCACGCAUGCAAGUCGCACGGAAAGGCCCUGCUUUUGUGGGGUGCUCGAGUGGCGAACGGGUGAGUAACACGUGAGUAACCUGCCCUUGACUUUGGGAUAACUUCAGGAAACUGGGGCUAAUACCGGAUAGGAGCUCCUGCUGCAUGGUGGGGGUUGGAAAGUUUCGGCGGUUGGGGAUGGACUCGCGGCUUAUCAGCUUGUUGGUGGGGUAGUGGCUUACCAAGGCUUUGACGGGUAGCCGGCCUGAGAGGGUGACCGGCCACAUUGGGACUGAGAUACGGCCCAGACUCCUACGGGAGGCAGCAGUGGGGAAUAUUGCACAAUGGGCGGAAGCCUGAUGCAGCAACGCCGCGUGCGGGAUGACGGCCUUCGGGUUGUAAACCGCUUUCGCCUGUGACGAAGCGUGAGUGACGGUAAUGGGUAAAGAAGCACCGGCUAACUACGUG
RNAcentral lists this ribosomal RNA (467 nucleotides) under uncultured bacterium. RNAcentral describes it as "partial 16S ribosomal RNA". It matches the Rfam family "Bacterial small subunit ribosomal RNA", at positions 29 to 507 of the family's 1533-position model. The record is from RNAcentral.